RNAcentral lists this ribosomal RNA (440 nucleotides) under uncultured bacterium. RNAcentral's name for it is "bacterial SSU rRNA". It matches the Rfam family "Bacterial small subunit ribosomal RNA", at positions 954 to 1392 of the family's 1533-position model. The record is from RNAcentral.
GCUAAACGCGAAGAACCUUACCCACACUUGACAUGCCUCUUUUGGCUUUCAGAGAUGAUUGCCUUCGGUUCGGCCGGGGAGUGCACAGGUGCCGCAUGGCUGUCGUCAGCUCGUGUCGUGAGAUGUUGGGUUAAGUCCCGCAACGAGCGCAACCCUUAUCGUAUGUUGCCAGCAUUUAGUUGGGCACUCGUGCGAGACUGCCGGUGAUAAGCCGGAGGAAGGCGGGGACGACGUCAAGUCAUCAUGGCCCUUACGUGUGGGGCUAGAAACGUGCUACAAUGGGAGUGACAGUGAGCAGCAGGGUCGCGAGGCCAAGCUAAUCUCCAAAAGCUCUCUCAGUUCAGAUUGUAGUCUGCAACUCGACUACAUGAAGUUGGAAUCGCUAGUAAUCGCGAAUCAGAAUGUCGCGGUGAAUACGUUCCCGGGUCUUGUACACACCG